AUGGCGUUCGCCGACGAGUACCAGGGCGUGGAGGCCCACGGCAACACCAAGUUGCACGUCAUCCACACCAAUGACAAGAAGCAGGUGGCGAUCACCCUCGCAAAACCCGCCCUCUGCCAACUCUCCAUCGGCAAGAAACACCCGGUGCUGCUCUUCCAACUGAGCGCCGCUGAAAGGUGCAUCGUCUUCGACAACUUCCUCGCCGACCCCAGGUACACCUUUGCAGGCUUCUCCAUCGACGGCGACAAAAAAAGGCUAGAGCGCGUCAAUCUGGAGGUCGCCAACUUCGUCGACAUCCAGAAGGAGUGGAGGGUGCCCGAAGCAACCAAGGAGUUGGACUCCCUUGGAGACGUCUCCGGCAUGCUCAUCGACGACUACUACAACAACAUGAAGAAGAAGAUCACCGACGACGAGCACAAGCGUUGGGCCACCCUGCCUCUGUCCAUGAGGCACAUCGAGUACGCGGCAAAGGACGCCUACGCAGCGUACGAGAUAUGGAACCGCAUCACCCUCACCCAGGACGGGCUUCGCCGUGCAAAGCUGGAGAAAGAGGAGCCCCCAAGAAGCGCACUAGGAGCAGCUGGGGAUGGGGAGACGCUAACUGGUGAAGACGAAGAUGGUGCCGGCCAAAGAGGCACCAAUGCCAGCGUCGUUUUAGAAUUAUCAUCAAAUUUGCUUUAG
This 681-nucleotide ribosomal RNA is filed under the name Triticum aestivum (bread wheat). RNAcentral's name for it is "partial small subunit ribosomal RNA". The record is from RNAcentral. Lineage: Eukaryota; Viridiplantae; Streptophyta; Magnoliopsida; Poales; Poaceae.